UACGGAGGGUGCAAGCGUUAAUCGGAUUUACUGGGCGUAAAGCGUACGUAGGCGGUUUGUUAAGUCAGAUGUGAAAGCCCAGGGCUCAACCUUGGAAUUGCAUUUGAUACUGGCAGACUAGAGUUUCGGAGAGGGUAGUGGAAUUCCUGGUGUAGCGGUGAAAUGCGUAGAUAUCAGGAGGAACAUCGGUGGCGAAGGCGACUGCCUGGCCGAAAACUGACGCUGAGGUACGAAAGCGUGGGGAGCAAACAGG
This 253-nucleotide ribosomal RNA is filed under the name uncultured bacterium. RNAcentral describes it as "partial 16S ribosomal RNA". It matches the Rfam family "Bacterial small subunit ribosomal RNA", at positions 524 to 776 of the family's 1533-position model. The record is from RNAcentral.